AUUGAACGCUGGCGGCAGGCCUAACACAUGCAAGUCGAGCGGAUGAAGGGAGCUUGCUCCUGGAUUCAGCGGCGGACGGGUGAGUAAUGCCUAGGAAUCUGCCUGGUAGUGGGGGAUAACGUCCGGAAACGGGCGCUAAUACCGCAUACGUCCUGAGGGAGAAAGUGGGGGAUCUUCGGACCUCACGCUAUCAGAUGAGCCUAGGUCGGAUUAGCUAGUUGGUGGGGUAAAGGCCUACCAAGGCUACGAUCCGUAACUGGUCUGAGAGGAUGAUCAGUCACACUGGAACGGAGACACGGUCCAGACUCCUACGGGAGGCAGCAGUGGGGAAUAUUGGACAAUGGGCGAAAGCCUGAUCCAGCCAUGCCGCGUGUGUGAAGAAGGUCUUCGGAUUGUAAAGCACUUUAAGUUGGGAGGAAGGGCAGUAAGUUAAUACCUUGCUGCUUUGACGUUACCAACAGAAUAAGCACCGGCUAACUUCGUG
RNAcentral lists this ribosomal RNA (484 nucleotides) under uncultured bacterium. Its description in RNAcentral is "partial 16S ribosomal RNA". It matches the Rfam family "Bacterial small subunit ribosomal RNA", at positions 30 to 507 of the family's 1533-position model. The record is from RNAcentral.